Molecule: ribosomal RNA, 429 nt
Filed under: uncultured bacterium
Lineage: Bacteria
Description: bacterial SSU rRNA
Rfam family: Bacterial small subunit ribosomal RNA
Source: RNAcentral
UGGGGAAUCUUGCGCAAUGCGCGAAAGCGUGACGCAGCAACGCCGCGUGGGGGAAGACGGCCUUCGGGUUGUAAACCCCUUUCAGGAGGGACGAAGGCUCGCCGGUUAACAGCCGUGCGGGUUGACGGUACCUUCAGAAGAAGCUCCGGCUAACUACGUGCCAGCAGCCGCGGUAAUACGUAGGGAGCAAGCGUUGUCCGGAAUCAUUGGGCGUAAAGCGCGCGUAGGCGGCCCCGUAAGUCCGCUGUGAAAGUCAAAGGCUCAACCUUUGAAAGCCGGUGGAUACUGUGGGGCUAGAGUCCGGAAGAGGCGAGUGGAAUUCCUGGUGUAGCGGUGGAAUGCGCAGACAUCAGGAGGAACACCAAUAGCGAAGGCAGCUCGCUGGGACGGUACUGACGCUAAGGCGCGAAAGCGUGGGGAGCGAACAGG